Small nucleolar RNA from Gasterosteus aculeatus aculeatus (three-spined stickleback), 70 nucleotides. Its record names the gene SNORD63. It matches the Rfam family "Small nucleolar RNA SNORD63". From Rfam's summary of the family: snoRNA U63 is found in both humans and mice. U63 is a member of the C/D class of snoRNA which contain C (UGAUGA) and D (CUGA) box motifs. Lineage: Eukaryota; Metazoa; Chordata; Actinopteri; Perciformes; Gasterosteidae. The record is from Ensembl.
AUGCAGUGAUGACUUUAAAAUGAACACAUCAUGCUGACAACACCGUGGAUAACCAUAAACACUGAGCAUA